UUUAGUGCAGUUUCUCUUCUUGACUUCUUAUGCCUGGCCCUCUUUUAAAUCCUAGUACUUUUCUCUUUAAAGCCAGUAUAAAAGAGUACAUUCUCUUUGUCUCUCAUCAUGAUCCUUGCAUCAUGGACACUGAUAGACAUCUUGGAUGUGGCCAUGAAAGGUCUUCCAAGAAUUACUAGAAUUCUUUCCGCAUCUUCCAUGCUCAUGAUGAUAAAAUCAGCUAAGAAUUCUAACUGCUCCACCCGAACAACCACAUUUUCCACCAUACCAAAUGGUGUUUUAACUGAACCAUCCGCCAUUGUCACUGUGAGAUUAGAUGGCUUUAACGUUAGCCCUCCAAUUUUCUUAAACAAACGCAUGGGCAUCAUGUUAAUGCUAGAUCCAGAAUCUAUCAUUGCUUC
This 401-nucleotide long non-coding RNA is filed under the name Vigna radiata. RNAcentral describes it as "long non-coding RNA (VRAD_LNC005100)". Lineage: Eukaryota; Viridiplantae; Streptophyta; Magnoliopsida; Fabales; Fabaceae. The record is from RNAcentral.